AUGACCCCCCCCUGGCCUCUGCUUCUGCACAGACAUCGAUCCUUCUCUACCUGUUCUUCUUUCCAUCGCCGGCCUCUGUGCCCACGUGUGAGAGCAAUGGUAGUUCUCAGGGGAAGAGUUGCAUGGGCAUGCCCGGUGCUGGUGGUGCUGCUGCUGCUGCAACUCGCCGGGGCGUCGCAUGUCGUCUACGAGACCCACCUCCUGGAGACGGAGGCGGCGGCGGCCGACGUGCCGCCUUCAAUUCUUGAUGCCGAGCUGAGUACGGGGUACCACUUCCGGCCGAUAAAGAACUGGAUCAACGAUCCCAACGCGCCCAUGUACUACAAGGGGUGGUACCAUUUCUUCUACCAGUACAACCCCAAGGGGGCCGUGUGGGGCAACAUCGUGUGGGCGCACUCGGUCUCGCGCGACCUCAUCAACUGGGUGGCGCUGGAGACGGCCAUCCAGCCCAGCAUCAAGUCCGACAAGUACGGCUGCUGGUCGGGCUCGGCCACUAUCCUGCGCGACGGCACGCCGGCGAUCAUGUACACGGGCAUCGACCGCGCCGACAUCAACUACGAGGUGCAGAACAUCGCCUUCCCCAAGAACAAGUCGGACCCGCUGCUCCGCGAGUGGGUCAAGCCCAAGAGCAACCCGAUCAUCGUGCCGGAGGGCGGCAUCAACGCCACCCAGUUCCGGGACCCGACCACCGCGUGGUACGCCGACGGCCACUGGCGGCUGCUCAUCGGCGCCCUCUCGGGCGCGUCCCGCGGCGUGGCGUACGUGUACCGGAGCCGCGACUUCAUGCGGUGGACGCGGGUGAGGAAGCCGCUGCACUCGGCGCCCACGGGGAUGUGGGAGUGCCCGGACCUGUACCCGGUCACGGUGGACGGCCGGCAGAACGGGCUCGACACCUCGGUCACGUCCAGCCCCAAGGUGAAGCACGUGCUGAAGAACAGCCUCGACCUGCGCCGCUACGACUACUACACCGUCGGCACCUACAACCGGAAGACCGAGCGGUACGUGCCGGACAACCCCACCGGCGAUGAGCACCACCUGCGGUACGACUACGGCAACUUCUACGCCUCCAAGACGUUCUACGACCCGGUCAAGCGCCGCCGUAUCCUGUGGGGCUGGGCCAACGAGUCCGACACCGCCGUCGACGACGUCGCCAAGGGAUGGGCCGGAAUCCAGGCGAUUCCGAGGAAGGUUUGGCUGGACCCGAGUGGGAGGCAGCUGAUGCAGUGGCCUGUGGAGGAGCUUGAGGCGCUCAGGGGGAAAAAGCCGGUCAGUCUCAGGGACGGGGUGGUGAAGCGGGGAGAGCACGUCGAGGUCACCGGGCUACGAAGCUCACAGGCUGACGUCGAGGUGAGCUUUGAGGUGCCGAGCCUGGAGGGAGCGGAGGCGCUGGACCCCGCGUUAGCCAACGACGCCCAGAAGCUGUGCAGCGUGAAGGGUGCCGACGUGGAAGGUGGCGUGGGCCCUUUUGGUCUGUGGGUGCUCGCCUCGGCCAAGCUGGAGGAGAAGACGGCGGUCUUCUUCCGGGUGUUCAAGGCCGCGCGCAACAUCAACAGCACCAAGCCGGUGGUCCUCAUGUGCUCCGACCCCACCACGUCAUCUUUGAACCCGAACCUCUACAAGCCGACGUUCGCAGGCUUUGUUGAUACUGACAUAGCGAAGGGCAAGAUAUCUCUGAGGAGCCUGAUUGAUCGGUCCGUGGUCGAGAGCUUCGGGGCAGGAGGCAGGACAUGCAUCCUCUCACGGGUCUAUCCGACCCUCGCCCUAGGCAAGAACGCUCAUCUUCACGUUUUCAACAACGGCAAGGUGGACAUCAAGGUGUCACAGCUCACGGCGUGGGAGAUGAAGAAGCCAGCACUCAUGAACGGUGCUUAG
This 1872-nucleotide ribosomal RNA is filed under the name Triticum aestivum (bread wheat). Its description in RNAcentral is "partial small subunit ribosomal RNA". Lineage: Eukaryota; Viridiplantae; Streptophyta; Magnoliopsida; Poales; Poaceae. The record is from RNAcentral.